Molecule: long non-coding RNA, 2490 nt
Organism: Triticum aestivum (bread wheat)
Lineage: Eukaryota; Viridiplantae; Streptophyta; Magnoliopsida; Poales; Poaceae
Exons: 3
Source: RefSeq, a predicted model, not a curated record
UCGUCCCUGCCGAAAACGUCGGGAUGCAAUCCCAUCUAGCACCGAUCCACCCCGCCUCACCUCCGUCCUGACAGGCUCGGCGCUGCCUCCUCCCCUCCCAAGCACAGCCGCCGCUACACACCCCAUCAGAGUACACCUCCCAUACUCCCUCUCUCUCUUGGAGCCGCCGCCGCUCCCCAUCCACCCGGCGUGCAUCGGAUCGACCUUGUUCCCUCUCCUUGCAACGUGGGAUAUGGAAGGGGCCGCCUGUCGGGCACCAAUCUGAUGGGGGCGUGGUCAUCUACCUCCUCCUCUCUCCCCACGUUGGUCCAGCCUGUCUUCUCUACCAGAUCUGGCGGCCGCGUCGGCGAAACUGCUGGCAGUGAGACGGUUCGCGGGUGUGCGAUAGGAAACAUCGGCCGGUCGUCUUCGAGUCCGCCUACCACGGCGAUCCCGCAGUACAGCCUCCCCGCCUCCAAGAUGUGGCCUGGACAAGGCCGUCUUCUCCUUUCCUCUGUGGCGUCCAAUGAAGAGCUACACCACCGUGGCACCACAUGUGUAUUGUACCUUCGCCCCGCGGCCCUUCUGUUCUGGGAUGAGGCAGCGUUUGUCUGUAGCACUCCAUGUCCCACAUCAACAUUCCUUUCUUACUUAGUGUUGUACAAGUGAUGCAAUCAGGAUUUGCUGGUUUUUGAACAUAUCCCUGAUAGAGUGAAAGGGACGGAAGAAUUGGAAAUACAAUGAGGAUGGUGCAUGGAGAACAUGCUCUGUUGCCAUCUUCAUCCGCGAAUUGGCUCCCAAAUCUAAAAGGUGUGGCUGCCGAAACAUGAGUCUAACAAGGCGCGGCUGCUGAACCAGGAGAACCGCAGACCUGGUCACAAUGAAUGAGUUUGAGACAAACCUUGUGUCAUGUGUUAUCGCACUCAGAUAUCGGAGCCUUGGAGAAUGUAAAGAAAUGUUAAACGGGUAGAUGUGGCCCCUCUAAACUUACUUGAAUUGUUCAGCAAAGGUCCGCGAUUAAUGGUACCCAUGUACAUUCAGUAGGGCGAGUUGGUCUUGCUAUAUUGCAUUCAGGCAUAGUGUUGAUAUUUCAUCAAAAAUAAGUUCAAGCAUGAUAUUUAAGAUCAAUUCUGGAAGAAUGACCUGACACACCUGAAACAUAAGAAAAACAUAAGGUGACUAAAAAAUACAUUGAACCAAAUGUGCCUGACUGAAUUUUAUUUGGAAUCGUACGUGUUAUUAUUCUUUGAAUGUGGCUGGCCAUUGCUAGCAUGCAUACAUGUAGCCACAUCUAUGUGAUAUGGUCAGUAUAUAUCUAUCAUGAGAAUAGUAUCUCAUGCAAUCAAGUCACAAUUGUUUAAAUUUCAAAAAGCCAAACUGAAGAACAAGCUGAAUACUGUUCCUUCCUCGCUCGCGUCGCUCCCAGGGGGGCGGCACGGGCGAUAACCUAGCCGCCGCCGCCCCCACUCCCCGCUCCUUCCUCGCUCCCAUGCCGCCGCCGGGGGAUGCCGACGGGCAAAUCUCGCUCGGCGGACGGCGGCGGCGGGGCCUCCUCGUCGUGUGGUGUGCGGCUUCGGCCCUGGACGGAGCUCCACUCCUGGUUGCGGCUGGGCGGCGGCGGGUCCUCUCGCCGGCGCAGGUAAGCCGGGGCGGCGGCGGCUAGGUUAUCGAUCCGGUUUCCCUUAUAAACUGGAUCAAUUCUCUUCUUCUAUAAUGAAAUGCCAGAGCUCCUGGCCCUCUGACGAGGUUAUGUCAAAAAAAAGUCACAAUUGUUUAUCCUCUUAGAUUAUCUUGCACUGCAGAAUUGUUGUACGGAACAAUUUAUAGGUGGUAUUCGUUAUUUCUCGGUAUGUAUAUGAACAAUGAUCGCACAUAUUCCUGUAAGCUAUAUUCUCUUCACAUUUAUGCAUAUUCUUGCUGAGACAGAAAAGAAAAGUAGUUGUAGUAAGUAGAUAUAUUUCUUCCCAUUUGUUUAUUCUUGCUGGGAGCGGAAAACACAUUAGCGACAAUAAGCAGUUAUGUAUAAACUUCUGUCUUGCAUACUGGAAAUGGAAACUAAUUAUCAUUUUUUGCUUUCUGACUUGCAAUGCAGAAUGUGAGAGCUUAUACCCCCAUAAAACAAGUGUUACAAAGUCUUUCAAUGGUGGUCUUGUAUACCCUCAUAAUUAUUGUUGUUGUAGUCAUCAUGUAUAAAUAGCAAGAUUCUUUUUCAGUUUUUUCUUGGCGUCGAUGAGCUCAGGAGCUCGGAGGAGGCCACCAUGGAGCUGAUGCCACCUCGGCAAACAAAACCUGUGCAGAACGAGAACGACGAGGCGAGCCAAUACUACAGAGGAGCUGGACCAUAGGGAGGUCUUAAUUUUAAAUAGCAAUCUUGGUUGCUAGCAUAUGUAAGGUUUGAAGUAUCUAUCCACCUUUUAAAAUAUAAGUGUCUAAAUACUGAAUAAUGAUUAUAGUGAUUUAUGACAAUCAGGUACCGUUUGGUUUAGCAUACAAGUGUCUAAAUACUAAAUA